Empidonax traillii (willow flycatcher) is the source of this 1534-nucleotide long non-coding RNA. RefSeq lists it as uncharacterized. The transcript has 3 exons. The record is from RefSeq and is a predicted model, not a curated record. Lineage: Eukaryota; Metazoa; Chordata; Aves; Passeriformes; Tyrannidae.
GCGUGGGCAGUGAAAGUAAUUUUUUUUUUUUUUGGAGACAAGCUCGGCUGUUAAGCGGCGAUGACGGACGGUGUCGCCGGGCUCCCCGAGGGAGCCGUGCAGGGUGGCAGCCGGGAUCUGCGGGGAGGGAGAGGAGACGAGCUGCACCUUGAGAGAAAUUGCCCCUUGUUUUGCCCGCUCACGCCGAGGGUGCGAUAAUGGGGCAAACUGGAGCGAAGUCAACCAGCAGAAUGGGGGCUGCUGCAUCCUGGAGGCUAACCCAAGAAGGCAAUUGCCACAGACCCUGUACUACAGUGUCUUUUUGUAGGAGCCCCUCUCAAAGCACAGAAAGAUUCCUCCUAGGAUGGCCAUGGCACUCUUUUCAGGCACCCUGCCUAGGAGCCUCUGCUCUCAGGAGGUGGCAUCUUCCCCCUGGAACUCCAUGCAGGUAAGAAGUCAAAAGGAGAGCUGAAUGACUUUUUAUGCUGACCUUCUUAAACUGUUCAGUGUCUCAACCAAAAUGCCUUAACCAAAGUCUUUUGGCUGUUUUCAUCUUUUAGUUUAGUGGCCUUUAUUUGCUGUCACACUUGUAUGAGUCAGGCCUUUUAUGUAAAGCGUAUGGGAUAGGCUUCUGCAGAGACUCUGAACUACAGAAUUAUGUAUUAACUCAUCUUUUAGAAUGACUCUGAUCCCUAUGGCACAUUAAAAAUUACUGUGUUUAAUAAUAUAGCUAAAUAUACAAGUUGUUGUUUGGAAGGUCUCAAUUUAUUAGAUAGUAAAUGUAAAAGUAAGUGCAUGGUAAAAUUCAAAAUUGAAAGGAAAAUAAGAAGAACAAGAAUGAGUUUGCAACUGAAGGACAAGCCUGAACCCAGCAGUAUAGACCAUAUAUCUGCUUAAAUAUCCAUUCUCUGAGCAUCCCUGGAUACGGAUAGACUGCUCCAGCAAAUAAGUUUGAGAAUACACACUCACCAGAUCAGCACCUCAGACUGCAUGCUCACAAAAGAUACUGCUUUUCUGUCAUGGUACAUUGUCAAAAAAAAACCCCCUCCCUAGAGUUCAACUGACAGUAGUAGUUGCUACAGCAAUACAGAUUGAAAAUAAGCCUAGUAAAUCAUUCAAGUCUCAUUUUUGUAUCUAUUUAAUCAAUAGGACAACUUCUGAAGCAGAACACUGCUUAUCCUGAAUAAAAGUGGCAGUUAUAUCCAGGUUCUAACACUGGGAGGUCAAAUGGUUGAAUUUGCUUUAUGUAUAUGAAGCCAGACUCUACAGUAAGUACCAGUGAUGAAUUACAAGCACGACUAUGGGUUCCCCAGAAACGUCAUGGACUUUUUGCAAGGAUCUCCAGAAAACAUUCAAAAUGCUUAGAAAUGACAACUUGAAAUCUUGCCCUGAAGUUAGGAAAAGGAAUUUAGCUCUCCAAAGAUGUUGUUUCUGGUGCUGGAUAUUAAAACCAAUUCUUUGGAUGGCAGGGAGAUGAAAACAAGUGGAGGCAAAUUAACAGGAACUAAAACUGAGAUCUAAUAAAAACUAUUGGAGUAAAAAAAAGAAUCAACAA